Molecule: long non-coding RNA, 905 nt
Organism: Uranotaenia lowii
Lineage: Eukaryota; Metazoa; Arthropoda; Insecta; Diptera; Culicidae
Exons: 2
Source: RefSeq, a predicted model, not a curated record
CAUACGAAAAAACUCUACCUCAAACAAUCAAAACGAUAAUCGAACUUCUCCAGCAACUGUGACUUUUUAUAAUAACAUAGCUAUUAGGUAAAACUAUCCGAGUCAAAUAAAUACAUUUAAAAUAAAACGAUUAAAACCAAGCCUCCACGUUUAUAUAAAAAGUCACGAAGGUUUCUGGAUGACAGCCAGGAAUGCCAGGUGGUUUUGUUAAAAAUCAGGACACCAUGAAGAAAAAAAUCAGGAUUCAGGACCACCAAUUCUGCUUAAUUUGUAUAAAUGAACACGAAAAAUGGUACUGUAGACGCUUUAAUUUAUGCAAAGUAUAUUGCCUGACCUGCAGUUUAUUUGAAAAAAAAAAUUACGACGAUGCAAUACAUUUAAUAAAUAAUUUUUCAAAAAUUAGGACAAAUCCUGAUUUAUCGGGACACCUGGCACCUCUGAUGAUAGCUGUCAUGACUGCUAGCAGUUUUGAGCAACACAAAAAAGAAGAAGAAAUUGAGGUUGGUGGUAAAACGGAAAUCAACAGCAAUUUCGCACGAAUUUUUGAUGCUGUAGAUCAACAAUUAGUGCGAAAUUGCUGUCUUAUCUCCCGCAAAGGAUCAGGAAGCCGGCGCACCGAAGGCUGGACUCAGUACAGCCCAACAAUUAGGCCAAAAGAUGAAAAUAUUUAAGUGUCGCCGAAAACUGCUUAUUUAUAUGCAGCCCGAGUUCCCCGGCUGUGGGGACUGCCCUCGCUGGUGUAGCUAUGGCCAUGCAGUGUAGAUUUCGGACCGAAUUUGCCAAUAUCUGUGCACACUUGUUUUAACAUAGAUAAGCUACGCGAGUUGAACGUAGAAUUAAUUAUAAAUUUGUAUGCAGAAUGAAAUUAAUGUAAGUAAAAAUAAUAAAAUAAAAUAUAUAGUGAA